UUGGAGGGCAAGUCUGGUGCCAGCAGCCGCGGUAAUUCCAGCUCCAAUAGCGUAUAUUAAAGUUGUUGCAGUUAAAAAGCUCGUAGUUGAAUUUCGGGAUCAAAUUGUUGGUCGUGCUUCGGUACGCACUGGCAUUAUUGGUUUCUACCUUCUGAAGAACCGCGAUGUCAUUAAUUUGGUGUCGUGGGGAAUCAGGACUGUUACUUUGAAAAAAUUAGAGUGUUUAAAGCAGGCUUACGCUUGAAUACAUUAGCAUGGAAUAAUGAAAUAGGACGUUUGAUUCUAUUUUGUUGGUUUCUAGGAUCGACGUAAUGAUUAAUAGGGAUAGUUGGGGGCAUUAGUAUUCAAUUGUCAGAGGUGAAAUUCUUGGAUUUAUUGAAGACUAACUACCGCGAAAGCAUUUGCCAAGGAUGUUUUCAUUAAUCAAGAACGAAAGUUAGGGGAUCGAAGACGAUCAGAUACCGUCGUAGUCUUAACCAUAAACUAUGCCGACUAGGGGAUCGGGAUGAUGUUAAUUUUUAA
This 522-nucleotide ribosomal RNA is filed under the name uncultured Glomeromycotina. RNAcentral describes it as "SSU rRNA". It matches the Rfam family "Eukaryotic small subunit ribosomal RNA", at positions 548 to 1075 of the family's 1831-position model. The record is from RNAcentral. Lineage: Eukaryota; Fungi; Glomeromycota.